This 3530-nucleotide long non-coding RNA is filed under the name Coffea arabica (coffee). Its description in RNAcentral is "long non-coding RNA (CARA_LNC003371)". The record is from RNAcentral. Lineage: Eukaryota; Viridiplantae; Streptophyta; Magnoliopsida; Gentianales; Rubiaceae.
GGCGAUACAACAAAUGACCAAUAUCUUAGCGUGAUUGGUAGAAUAACAAGGCCAAACUCCAGUGAAUCAACCUCGGAACCCUGAGAUAGGAGAGAAUAGUGUGAUGCCCCCACUUCUCCUAAGGGCGAACCCAAGGGUAUCCGCAGAACGCCUGCCCAACUCUCGCCAGGACUCGAUACAAGUCAUAUUUAAACUUAAAGGUAUACAACUAAAAAUAAAAUUUAAAUUAAGAAAAAUCUCUCCCUUAAAUAAACUUCUAAGUCAUACAUCACAAAUAUCAAAAUUAUCUCAAUCUUCAAACUUAAAUACAACCCAAAUGAAUAUGCACUAUAGUCAUUGCUAUAAUACAAGUUGAAGUCUCCAAAAGAAAACAACUUAGAACUAUUCGCGAGUACUCUCGGUCUUGAACCCUGUUAAGGAAAACAAAAGCGUGAAAUGAACUAAACAGCCCAGUGAGGUUCCAAACUACACUAGCAGUUCUAAUAAAUCAAGUAAAUUGAGCAUAACACAUGUAUGGUUCAAGGUUGCACAUUGGCACAUUGGAAUGAAACAGUUAUCAUUGUACAGAAAUAAACACACAUUGAAAGGAUACGGUGUUCACUUGGAACAAUUUCAGUCUACUUCACCUUAUAACUCUAGUGAUCCCCUCGGUUUUGUCUAGCCAUCACCUUAUCCCUCCAGUGGUAAUACUCGAGUAUAUCGAAACGGUGGCCCAGGGUUCCAACCUACUCGACAGAGCCCAGUCCUGGCUCGAGCAGGUUAGCAACCAAGGGCAGGAUCCAGUUCAGUUUAGAGCUUACAACGUGUGCAAGUAAUCAAGUAAAUCGGCAAACGGUAGUAGUUCACGGUUAACGGUAGAAAUUUACGGUUAAACGGUAGAAAUUUAUCGUUUUAGUAGGUCGAGUGAGAUAAACUACACACUCGCCUUAAAACGGUGGACAGUUACAUAGGAGCAAUUAUAGGGUGCACUUAACACUUAAACACACAAUAACUAUGAAGUAAACAUGUAGCAAAACUAUUCAAGUCGCGUACACCUAUAAGGAACACUCACCGAAAUCAAGAGUGUAAAACAAGAGCGAGGAAAGAUCAAACGAGUUCCUCGGGAUCCUCUUGAUCACCUGAGACAUGUACAAGUACAAUUCACCCAGGUAUUCAACCAAGGUCUAGCAGUAUUCCCGUGACUCUCACUUAAGAGAUAACGCGUUCAAAUCGAAUACAAAUAUCACUUAUUAACUUAAUCCAUGAAGGUAGCAUUUGAAAAUAUCUAAGAAUACAUUAAUCCGAGUCAAAUCAUGUCCAAGAUUCUCCAAGUUGAAGAUUAAACAGAUCUCUAAGUUUUGGCACAAAAAUCGAGAAAGAUGGAUAUAUUUACUUGGAAGUUUGGUCAAAGCAUUCCGGCAUUACUAAUAAGUUCACAAGAAAUCUUUCAAAUCAUUCUUUUAAAAUACUUGUAUAAUUGCCAACUCUAGUACAAUUAUCAAGGCCAUAAGAAUAGGGGUUGAAGUCCCUAAUUUAAGUACGAAGAGAAGUACCAAUAACCAAGAGAGUUAUAUGACCAAGUAAUUGCAUCAAAAGAGGUUUAACCUUCGGAGACCAAGAUUUGAAAUGAAAGUUCAAAGUUCCAAAGAGACCUUGUAUCAAACCAUGAAAUCAAACUUAAAACAGUCCAACACUCACAAAGGAAGGUGGAAAGCUCUUAAAGGAGUAAUUUGGUUGAAACAGAAAUUUUCCAAUUUAGAGUGACAUUAUUUUGAAAAAUUGUAUCUCGAGUUUCGUAUGUCCAAAAAUGGAAAAAUUUAUACUGUUGGAAACUAAAUUCAAAGUACUAAAAGUUCUCAGAAGACAGUUUUCCAUGAUUCCAACUAGAAAGCAUUCAUAAUUCAGCUCAAAAUUUCAGUUCCAAGAAGACAGGUUUGGAUCAGUCUUGGUUUUUCAGCAACUUUGGAAAUUUGGCAUAAUUCACAGAAAACGAACUAGCCUUUGAAAUUUGUAACACAAUAAGAGUUCCAAACAAGGUUUUAAACACAACAAACGGAACUAAAUUUGGAGUUUUGAAUAUCGAGAUACAUCAGUUCAAAGUUGGUCGACUUUCAUGACAUGUCCAGUUAUUUUCCAGAUUUGAGAAGGCAUCUUUGAGGUAUCAUUUGGCCAUUGAAAUGGCAUUGAAAAUACACCAAUGGUACAUUUAAUCUUCCAUAUGUGAGCUACAUCUCUACCAAAUUUCAUGCGAAAAAUCACGUGGGAAGGCAGUUAACAAAAUAAUCAAAGUUCUUGAGAUUCCCAAAGCAAAUCUGCCAUCUCACCAUUUUCUUUCUUUCCAAAAGCUUAUUACCAUGAAAUCAGUCCCAAUCCACUUCAUUUUUGAAACCAAGGUCCCAUAAACAUUUGAUAAGCAAUUGGUGGGUAAUUGACAUCAAAAUUUUUGAAAUAAAACCUCCCACAACAAACUAGACCAGUUGGCCAGCAAGAAGGAAAAGUUUUCCAGUUUUCCAGUUUUGCUACAGUUUGGAAAUUGAACCAUAUCUCACUCAGUACAACUUGAAAUUGAGAAUUGUUGGUGGCGUUGAAAACUAGGUUCAAAAUUCCACAUUUCAUCAAAAGAAAUCAUUUUCAAAAUCAGUUUACAAGUAGUUCAAAUUCAAGCCACAAGUUACAGCUUCUCAUUUCCAUUCGAAUGGAACAGGCAGACAGAGCAGAACAGAACAGCCGACUUUAUCAGUUCACUGCAGUUCACACAAAAUGAACUAAACAACAAUUUUUAUACUGUUUUAAAGCUAAGAAUGUCUAGUUUCAAAUGCCGUAAACGGCACUCGAUUUUGACUUUUGUACAAAGAGAUAUGUUCGGUUAAAGAACACUGCCAGUGAACCACUGUUAUACUUUUUUUGAGAUUUUGUUCUGCGAAAGCUCAAAUUUUGUUCAACUAUUCAAAUGAUUUUUGGUAAAAAUUUUCUACACGCAAUAUACCUCAUAUAUACAUCAGUUUCACAAUCAUUUGAGCGUUAAAAAUUUGAAAUAUAGGCAAGGCAAUAACAGGAUAGAUUCGGCCAGCUUACUUCCUUUCACGGUUUUCUCUCUUUCUUUUUCCUCUUCUAGUUUCUUCUAGUAAAAUCCAUCACAAACACACUAACACACACAUAAACAUCAUGGUAGUCCUAAUUUAACUAAGGUGGGAGUUCAUAGAGUCCACUUCAACCAACCAAAUCCAAGCAACAACAACAAUAAGGAAGCUACAAGCUUCAAAACCAAGAAAUAAAACAAGAAAGUAAAAGCUUUGGUAGAGAUGUUUAUACCUUCAAAACUCAAGAUAAAACCCUAGAUGAAACCAGAAAUUUUUAGCCAAAACUCUCCAAGAAAAGUCCUCAAGAUGAUGUCUUUCUCCAAGAUGAAACUAAUCUCCAAGAACAAGAAGAUUGGAUGAAGUUUUGCUAGCAAGAUGGGAGCUUGAAAUGGAGUUUUUUCCUUCUUCCUUUUCUUGUUUUGAGGCUGGCCGAGAGUGAGGAGAGAGAUGAGGGAGUUUGGUGGUUUGAUU